This is a long non-coding RNA of Artibeus jamaicensis (Jamaican fruit-eating bat), 265 nucleotides long. RefSeq lists it as uncharacterized. The record is from RefSeq and is a predicted model, not a curated record. Lineage: Eukaryota; Metazoa; Chordata; Mammalia; Chiroptera; Phyllostomidae. The transcript has 3 exons.
CCGACAAAGUCCGUAGAGACAACCUGCGUGUAAGAGUUUUGAAGAUUAAGUGUGGGUCGCAGAGCAAGGACCUCCAGGAGUCCAGGCCCUGGGAAGAUGGCUGGAGCUAUGGAAGUGAAAAGACAGUCUCCAAAUCCUUACCUUCUUGGAAUACAUGUACUAGUAGGAUCAACAGGCACGGCUGUCGCAGCAGCUGGACAACGGUGACAUUGGUGAGGACGAUGUCGCGUUUCGACAUGGCCUCUUAAGGUUUCAUGGCCUAGCC